CCUACGGGAGGCAGCAGUGGGGAAUAUUGCACAAUGGGCGAAAGCCUGAUGCAGCGACGCCGCGUGAGGGAUGACGGCCUUCGGGUUGUAAACCUCUUUCAGCAGGGAAGAAGCGAAAGUGACGGUACCUGCAGAAGAAGCGCCGGCUAACUACGUGCCAGCAGCCGCGGUAAUACGUAGGGCGCAAGCGUUGUCCGGAAUUAUUGGGCGUAAAGAGCUCGUAGGCGGCUUGUCACGUCGGAUGUGAAAGCCCGAGGCUUAACCUCGGGUCUGCAUUCGAUACGGGCUAGCUAGAGUGUGGUAGGGGAGAUCGGAAUUCCUGGUGUAGCGGUGAAAUGGCGCAGAUAUCAGGAGGAACACCGGUGGCGAAGGCGGAUCUCUGGGCCAUUACUGACGCUGAGGAGCGAAAGCGUGGGGAGCGAACAGGAUUAGAUACCCUGGUAGUCCACGCCGUAAACGUUGGGAAACUAGGUGUUGGCGACAUUCCACGUCGUCGGUGCCGCAGCUAACGCAUUAAGUUCCCGCCUGGGAGUCGGCCGCAAGGCUAAAACUCAAAUGAAAUUGACGG
Molecule: ribosomal RNA, 568 nt
Filed under: uncultured bacterium
Lineage: Bacteria
Description: bacterial SSU rRNA
Rfam family: Bacterial small subunit ribosomal RNA
Source: RNAcentral